GAACGGGUGAGUAACACGUGGGUAACCUGCCCCGAUGAUUGGGACAACCCGGGGAAACUCGGGCUAAUACCAAAUAUGCUUUCCGGCCACAAGGCCGGUUCGGAAAGGAAGCUUCGGCCUCCGCAUCGGGAUGGGCCCGCGGCCCAUUAGCUUGUUGGUGAGGUAACGGCUCACCAAGGCGACGAUGGGUAGCUGGUCUGAGAGGACGAUCAGCCACACUGGGACUGAGACACGGCCCAG
RNAcentral lists this ribosomal RNA (240 nucleotides) under uncultured bacterium. RNAcentral's name for it is "partial 16S ribosomal RNA". It matches the Rfam family "Bacterial small subunit ribosomal RNA", at positions 100 to 334 of the family's 1533-position model. The record is from RNAcentral.